Long non-coding RNA from Nyctereutes procyonoides (raccoon dog), 1143 nucleotides. RefSeq lists it as uncharacterized. The transcript is spliced from 3 exons. Lineage: Eukaryota; Metazoa; Chordata; Mammalia; Carnivora; Canidae. The record is from RefSeq and is a predicted model, not a curated record.
GCCAUUUGGGGAAUUGCCUUUGGAAGGAGCCAGAAGGCAGGGAACUGCCGGUAGCCUCUAGGACCUGAGGGUGGCCUCCAGCUCAUAGCCGUUAAGAAGCAGGGCCUUCAGACAAAUAGCCACAAGGAAAUGACUUCUGCCAAUGACCCAGAUGAGCUUGGAAAUAGAUGCUUCCCUGGCCAAGCCUUCAGAUAAGAACACAGCUCAGCUUACACUUGGAUUGCGGCCUCCUGAGACCCCAAGCAGAGGAUCCAACUGAGCCAGGCCUGGGCUUCUGACCUAUGGAAAGUGCCCAUGAGCUCCUCGGGGACUGAUCCUCAGCCGGCUCUGUAUCUCCAGGGCCAAGCACCAUGGGAACACAACACAUGAUUGUUGAUUGCUUCCCCAAUUCACCUGACAAGUGUUAAGGAGACUGACUAUGCACCAGGCACUCGGCCAGACUUAGAGUGGAACCUCUACGGAAGACUGUCCCUGCCUUUACAGAGUGUGCAGGCCUGUGGGAGUUGAAGGAACUAGGGAACAAGUGAAUGCACACAGGAUAACAAAGUAUGAUGAGGAAACUGAAGCUCAAGGGAGUCUGGGAACCUGCCCAAGGUUGCACAGCUGAGCCAAGAUAUCAUCUCACAAGCGCCUCCCUGGUCUUUCCCCACGUACUGCUGCAGUGACCAUAGAGAGCCCCACUCUGGGAAGCAAUCCCUGCCCUCCCUGGUCCUGAGCUAUCCGGGAGUCAGGUCAUGUCCCAUGAUACCACAACAUUUGUUCAAGUCACAGAAAAGUCCAUUGAACGGCACUGGAAUAAGCGGGACCACCAACUUAUGGCCUGUGCCACAUCCUAGUGACCACAGAGACCCCACAGUCACACUGUUCCCAGGGCUUGUGGUCACAGGCCAGCCCCCCACAGCCAGAGCGUGGUGCCUACCGAGUCCGGACAGAACCCUCUCCCCUGCCAGCCCUGACCUCCCAGACAAACACCUGCCCCUUCCUCACCUGGAGACCACCAGUGGUAGGAUCAGCAUCUUCAACAUCCUCAUUAAGAGCUCUCCAGGAAACUGGAAAUAACUAAUUUCCUGUAAAUACAGGAGGAACUGGGGUUAGAGCAGGUGGCACUGACUUCAGAGUUUCUUUACGGUCUUCAAAGCCCUG